CCUACGGGAGGCAGCAGUGGGGAAUAUUGCACAAUGGGGGAAACCCUGAUGCAGCGACGCCGCGUGAGUGAAGAAGUAUUUCGGUAUGUAAAGCUCUAUCAGCAGGAACGAGACAAGACGGUACCUGACUAAGAAGCACCGGCUAACUACGUGCCAGCAGCCGCGGUAAUACGUAGGGGGCAAGCGUUAUCCGGAAUCACUGGGUGUAAAGGGAGCGUAGACGGCUGAGCAAGCCUGAAGGGAAAGGCGGGGGCCCAACCCCUGGACUGCUUUGGGAACUGUACGGCUGGAGUGCAGGAGGGGUAAAUGGAAUUCCUAGUGUAGCGGUGAAAUGCGUAGAUAUUACGCAGAACUCCGAUUGCGAAGGCAGCAUACCGGCGCCCAACUGACGCUGAAGCACGAAAGCGUGGGUAUCGAACAGGAUUAGAUACCCUAGUAGUC
This 441-nucleotide ribosomal RNA is filed under the name uncultured bacterium. Its description in RNAcentral is "partial 16S ribosomal RNA". It matches the Rfam family "Bacterial small subunit ribosomal RNA", at positions 338 to 795 of the family's 1533-position model. The record is from RNAcentral.